This 252-nucleotide ribosomal RNA is filed under the name uncultured bacterium. Its description in RNAcentral is "partial 16S ribosomal RNA". It matches the Rfam family "Bacterial small subunit ribosomal RNA", at positions 524 to 776 of the family's 1533-position model. The record is from RNAcentral.
GACGAGGGACCUAGCGUUGUUCGGAAUCAUUGGGCGUAAAGCGGGUGUAGGCGGACUUAUAAGUCAGAUGUGAAAUCCCAGGGCUUAACUCUGGAAGUGCAUUUGAUACUGUAAGCCUUGAAUGUGGUAGAGGUUACUGGAAUUCCUGGUGUAGUGGUGAAAUACGUAGAUAUCAGGAGGAAUACCGGAGGCGAAGGCGGGUAACUGGGCCAACAUUGACGCUGAGAUCCGAAAGCGUGGGGAUCAAACAGG